RNAcentral lists this long non-coding RNA (1338 nucleotides) under Mytilus galloprovincialis (Mediterranean mussel). Lineage: Eukaryota; Metazoa; Mollusca; Bivalvia; Mytilida; Mytilidae. The record is from RNAcentral.
UCCCAAUUGAUACGAUAUUCUCGUGCUUGUAUUUCCUAUCAUGAUUUUCUUGAUAGAUGGUUGCUGCGCACAAGGAAGCCAUUAAACCAAGAGUUCCAAAUGGUGAUGUUGAAAUCAUUCCUUCGUAAAUUCCUUCAUAACGAGUUGGUUGACCGUUAAACGGUUUCAAAAUGAUAUCGGAUAUGUUCCUUACGUCGUAACUACAAUCCCCUUCCCUUUCAUGAAUGUGACCUACCGAAUUAGACUCUUUAACGGAUUUGUUAUUACAUAAGCAACACGACGGGUGCCACAUGUGGAGCAGGAUUUGCUUACCUUUUCGGAGCACAUGAGAUCACCCCUAGUUUUUGAUGGGGUUCGUGUUGCUUAUUCUUUAGUUUUCUAUGUUGUGUCAUGUGUACUAUUGUUUUUCUGUUUGUCUUUUUCAUUUUUAGCCAGGGCGUUGUCAGUUUAUUUUCGAUUCAUGAGUUGGACUGUCCCUCUGGUAUCUUACGCCCCUUUUUUACAUGCUGAACGACUGAUGUACGUCGAACGCGCGAUCUAGGUCAUAGCUAUUGUUAACCUAACCAUGUGCCUGUCAUGAUAAGGAAUCGGUCCUAGUACUUAAAAUCGUAUAAUAAAAAAGCAAUACAUGAGGUUGUUAAAUUCUAUAUAUGCCUUUUUACGUUUCCUUGUUACAUAUUUGUUUAUUUUUAUAGUGAUCAAGAUUUAAACACAAUAUUGACUACUGUAACCCUAUUUUUACAUUUGUACCUAUUAUAAAAAUGGAAAUGGGGAAUGUGUCAAAGAGACAACAACCCGACCAUAGAACAGACAACAGCAGAAGGUCACAAAUAGGUCUUCAAUGCAGCGAGAAAUUCCCGCACUCGGAGGCGUCCUUCAACUGAACCUUAAACACAUAUAUAUACUAGUUCAGUGAUAAUGAACGCCAUACUAAACUCCAAAUUAUACACAAGAAACUAAAAUUAAAAAUAAUACAAGACUAACAAAGACCAGAGGAUCCUGACUUGGGACAGGCGCAAAAUUGCGGCGGGGUUAAACAUGUUUAUGAGAUCUCAACCCUCCCACUAUACCUCUUGUCAAUGUAGAAAAGUACCUACUAUAUAUGUUUGUUUUGUUCAUGCAUCGUUGUCAUUAUAAUGGAAUUUGAUGCGACUGUCAUACAAGUGAGAGGUUUAACUAGCUAUUUUCUACAUAAGUAAAUGCCUGUACAAAGUCAGGAAUAUGACAGUUGUUAUCCAUUCGGUUGAUGUGUUUGAGCUUUUGGUUUUGUCAUUUUUAUGGGACUUUCCAUCUUAAAUUUUUUUUCGGAGUUCAGUAUUUUUGUAAUUUUACUAUUUG